RNAcentral lists this ribosomal RNA (513 nucleotides) under uncultured bacterium. RNAcentral's name for it is "partial 16S ribosomal RNA". It matches the Rfam family "Bacterial small subunit ribosomal RNA", at positions 28 to 523 of the family's 1533-position model. The record is from RNAcentral.
GAUGAACGCUGGCGGCGUGCCUAAUACAUGCAAGUCGAGCGAACAGACGAGGAGCUUGCUCCUCUGACGUUAGCGGCGGACGGGUGAGUAACACGUGGAUAACCUACCUAUAAGACUGGGAUAACUUCGGGAAACCGGAGCUAAUACCGGAUAAUAUAUUGAACCGCAUGGUUCAAUAGUGAAAGACGGUUUUGCUGUCACUUAUAGAUGGAUCCGCGCCGCAUUAGCUAGUUGGUAAGGUAACGGCUUACCAAGGCAACGAUGCGUAGCCGACCUGAGAGGGUGAUCGGCCACACUGGAACUGAGACACGGUCCAGACUCCUAUGGGAGGCAGCAGUAGGGAAUCUUCCGCAAUGGGCGAAAGCCUGACGGAGCGACGCCGCGUGAGUGAUGAAGGUCUUCGGAUCGUAAAACUCUGUUAUUAGGGAAGAACAAAUGUGUAAGUAACUAUGCACGUCUUGACGGUACCUAAUCAGAAAGCCACGGCUAACUACGUGCCAGCCGCCGCAGUAA